Long non-coding RNA from Callorhinus ursinus (northern fur seal), 655 nucleotides. RefSeq lists it as uncharacterized. Lineage: Eukaryota; Metazoa; Chordata; Mammalia; Carnivora; Otariidae. The record is from RefSeq and is a predicted model, not a curated record.
CCCUUUGCUUCCACAGCACUGGCAGGUUGGGUGUGUUGACCUUGAACAGUGGAGCCAGCCCUUCCUCUGGUAGUUGGAGAGGAAAUAAGAUAAGAGCAAGGAGAGAGCUGGGCAUGAGGAACUACCAGACCUGGGCCCUGGAGGCCCAGUGGGGCUGGAGGACUGUUCCCCUGACCAGGGGGGCAGCCGAGCCCAUCAGCCCACCCAGGAAAACCCAGCCUGCCCAUUUACUUGCUCAGUGAUGCUCUCAUUCAGCAGAUGGUCAUUGAGCAACCUCUCAGGGGAGGAAACUGAGGCCCAAGCCACGCACAUAACACGGACAAGCGGAGCUGCAGCAGUUUAGCGCUCGGCCCGUUCUCUUUCCCACGCCUCUGCUAAGUUAAUCAAAGAGGAAGUGAGACCCACAGCAGGAAGCAGGGAGGACCUGCCCUACAAUCCACCAACCCCCUUACUCAGGAGGUCCUGGCGAUGCCCACGUGCAGCAGAGAGGCAAUGUGAGAGGACCUUGUCCUUCCAGCCUGGAGAGGCCCCGUCCUCCUGUGGCACCCUCCUGUCCCUGACCCUCAUGAGCAGAGAGAGAGAGCGCGCACGGCAGGCAGAGGGAGAAGCGGGGCCAGAUGUGAGACUCGACCUGGGAUCAUGACCUGAGCUGAAG